CAUGCAAGUCGAACGGAAUAAUGACUUCGGUUGUUAUUUAGUGGCGGAAGGGUUAGUAAUACAUAGAUAAUCUGUCCUCAACUUGGGAAUAACGGUUGGAAACGACCGCUAAUACCGAAUGUGGUAUGUUUAGGCAUCUAAAACAUAUUAAAGAAGGGGAUCUUCGGACCUUUCGGUUGAGGGAGAGUCUAUGGGAUAUCAGCUUGUUGGUGGGGUAAUGGCCUACCAAGGCUUUGACGUCUAGGCGGAUUGAGAGAUUGACCGCCAACACUGGGACUGAGACACUGCCCAGACUUCUACGGAAGGCUGCAGUCGAGAAUCUUUCGCAAUGGACGAAAGUCUGACGAAGCGACGCCGCGUGUGUGAUGAAGGCUCUAGGGUUGUAAAGCACUUUCGCUUGGGAAUAAGAGAGAUUGGCUAAUAUCCAAUCGAUUUGAGCGUACCAGGUAAAGAAGCACCGGCUAACUCCGUGCCAGCAGCUGCGGUAAUACGGAGGGUGCUAGCGUUAAUCGGAUUUAUUGGGCGUAAAGGGCGUGUAGGCGGAAAGGAAAGUUAGAUGUUAAAUCUUGGGGCUCAACCCCAAGCCAGCAUCUAAUACUAUCUUUCUAGAGGGUAGAUGGAGAAAAGGGAAUUCCACGUGUAGCGGUGAAAUGCGUAGAUAUGUGGAAGAACACCAGUGGCGAAGGCGCUUUUCUAAUUUACACCUGACGCUAAGGCGCGAAAGCAAGGGGAGCAAACAGGAUUAGA
Molecule: ribosomal RNA, 747 nt
Filed under: uncultured Chlamydia sp.
Lineage: Bacteria; Pseudomonadati; Chlamydiota; Chlamydiia; Chlamydiales; Chlamydiaceae
Description: bacterial SSU rRNA
Rfam family: Bacterial small subunit ribosomal RNA
Source: RNAcentral